Molecule: ribosomal RNA, 253 nt
Filed under: uncultured bacterium
Lineage: Bacteria
Description: partial 16S ribosomal RNA
Rfam family: Bacterial small subunit ribosomal RNA
Source: RNAcentral
UACGAAGGGGGCUAGCGUUGUUCGGAAUCACUGGGCGUAAAGGGCGCGUAGGCGGCCGAUCAAGUCGGGGGUGAAAGCCUGUGGCUCAACCACAGAAUUGCCUUCGAUACUGGUUGGCUUGAGACCGGAAGAGGUUAGUGGAACUGCGAGUGUAGAGGUGAAAUUCGUAGAUAUUCGCAAGAACACCAGUGGCGAAGGCGGCUGACUGGUCCGGUUCUGACGCUGAGGCGCGAAAGCGUGGGGAGCAAACAGG